UGAGUAAUCCCACGCUUCCGAGAAAAGCCGCGCGCAGAGCUCCUCUAGUGAUCGUACUGUAAACCGACUCAGGUGGGCGGGGUGAAUAUCCCAAGGCGCGUGAGAGAACCCUGGUUAAGGAACUCUGCAAAUUUACACCGUAACUUCGGGAGAAGGUGUGCCGCUGGCGGUGAAAGGCUUUGCGCCUCGAGCUGUCGGUGGUCGCAGUGAAAUGGGAGUUGUGACUGUUUACUAAAAACACAGGACUCUGCGAAGUCGAAAAGACGACGUAUAGGGUCUGAUGCCUGCCCGGUGCUGGAAGGUUAAGGGGAUAUGUCAGGGGCAACCCGAAGCAUUGAACCGAAGCCCCAGUAAACGGCGGCCGUAACAAUAACGGUCCUAAGGUAGCGAAAUUCCUUGUCGGGUAAGUUCCGACCUGCACGAAUGGCAUAACAACAUCUCCACUGUCUCGACCAGGGACUCAGCGAAAUUGCAUCGGGGGUGAAGAUGCCCUCUACCCGCGGAAAGACGGAUAGACCCCAUGAACCUUCACUGCAACUUGGCAGUGAUUUUCGGGUUGUUCUGCGUAGGAUAGGUGGGAGGCUUUGAAGCCGGGCUUCUGGGUUCGGUGGAGCCACCCUUGAAAUACCACCCUGAAUAAUCUGGAAAUCUAACCUUCACCCGUGAUCCGGGUGGGGAACACUGCCUGGUGGGCAGUUUGACUGGGGCGGUCGCCUCCUAAAUCGUAACGGAGGCGUGCGACGGUUCCCUCAGGCUGAUUGGAAACCAGCCGUAGAGUGCAAACGCAUAAGGGAGCUUUACUGUGAGACCGACAGGUCGAGCAGUUGCAAAAGCAGGUGUUAGUGAUCCGGUGGUCCCGUAUGGAAGGGCCAUCGCUCAUCGGAUAAAAGGUACUCUGGGAUAACAGGCUGAUCGCGCCUGAGAGUUCAUAUCGGCGGCGCGGUUUGGCACCUCGAUGUCUGCCCAUCGCAUCCUGGGGCUGGAGCAGGUCCCAAGGGUUCGGCUGUUCGCCGAUUAAAGCGGUACGCGAGCUGGGUUUAAAACGUCGUGAGACAGUUUGGUCCCUAUCUUCCGUGGGCGUAGGACACUUGAGAGGAGCUGCCCAUAGUACGAGAGGACCUGGGUGGACGUACCUCUGGUGUUCCGGUUGUCACGCCAGUGGCAUAGCCGGGUAGCCAUGUACGGAACGGAUAACCGCUGAAAGCAUAUAAGCGGGAAGCCGGCCUCAAGACUAGGUGUCCCUGCCGCAAGGCACUAAAGGCCCCUUGUAGACUACGAGGUUGAUAGGCCGGGUGUGGAAGCGCUGCAAAGCGUGGAGCUAACCGGUCCUAAUAGGCCGUGCGGCUUGAUCAU
RNAcentral lists this ribosomal RNA (1353 nucleotides) under metagenome. Its description in RNAcentral is "bacterial LSU rRNA". It matches the Rfam family "Bacterial large subunit ribosomal RNA", at positions 1591 to 2925 of the family's 2925-position model. The record is from RNAcentral.